GACGAACGCUGGCGGUGUACUUCACACAUGCAAGUCGAACGGAGUAGCAAUACUCAGUGGCGGACGGGUGAGUAAAACGUGGGAAUCUACCAUUAGGUGGGGAAUAACAGGCCGAAAGGACUGCUAAUGCCGCAUAUGUAGGCAUCUCGACAGAGAUGUUUAUGAAAGGAGUAAUCCGCCUUUUGAUGAGCCCGCGUCCGAUUAGCUAGUUGGUAGGGUAAAAGCCUACCAAGGCGACGAUCGGUAGGUGGUCUGAGAGGAUGAUCACCCACAAUGGGACUGAGACACGGCCCAUACUCCUACGGGAGGCAGCAGUGGGGAAUUUUACGCAAUGGGGGAAACCCUGACGUAGCGACACCGCGUGAGCGAAGAAGCCCUUUGGGGUGUAAAGCUCUGUCAACAGGAACGAAACAAAUGACGGUACCUGUGGAGGAAGCAUCGGCUAACUACGUGCCAGCAGCCGCGGUAAGACGUAGGAUGCAAGCGUUGUCCGGAUUUAUUGGGCGUAAAGAGUUCGUAGGCGGUUUGUUAAGUCUGAUGUUAAAGACCGGGGCUCAACCUCGGAAAUGCAUUGGAUACUGGCAGACUGGAGUGCAGUAGAGGCUAGUGGAAUUCCCAGU
Molecule: ribosomal RNA, 620 nt
Filed under: uncultured bacterium
Lineage: Bacteria
Description: bacterial SSU rRNA
Rfam family: Bacterial small subunit ribosomal RNA
Source: RNAcentral